Molecule: long non-coding RNA, 2477 nt
Filed under: Helianthus annuus (common sunflower)
Lineage: Eukaryota; Viridiplantae; Streptophyta; Magnoliopsida; Asterales; Asteraceae
Description: hypothetical non coding rna
Source: RNAcentral
GGUGUGAUGGCGUGGAUCGAUCAGAGCAAAGGGGGGAGAAGACAAACCCUAACUUCAUGAAAUUCUCAAGAAUUGAAAGAGAUUAGGAGCCCAAACUAAUGCAUGAACUCGAAACCUCAAUCAUCUAAGCUUGUACAACAAGCGGAACGUGUCAAGGAGAGGUCAAGCAUAGGAGGAUAACGGGUCAAGAUAAGGCAAGAUGACAAAUACACUUAUUGGAGUACUCGAGGUAAGUGAAUUUCGAUCCACUUUUUAGUAGGUUUAAUAGAUUUUAAUACUUAUGUUUACGAAACAUCAUGAAAGAACAUGUAAUAAUCAGAAGUACAAAGCCAAUAAUGCCUCAUUAUUGAAGAAGGUUGUAUUUAAGCCGAAGGUAAAUUGGUGGGUUUAAACGGGUCGAAUUUUAUGUGCAUAUGUUGCGUAAUGAAAUGAAAUUCGUUAUGGUUAAGACCUUGGGUAAGAAUUUUAGUCAUUAUGUAAGGGGAACAUUUCCCGGACCAUUAGGUACAAGUUUUAUAUGAUUCGGUUGUCGGUCAAUGAAUGAACGGAUUGUUUCGUUUUAGUGUAGGAAAUUUUAUAAGUAUAUGUGUAUAGGAAUCCAAAGGCCACGUGGGUUGAAUCGUAGAUUGUCUAUACUAUGUAAAGUUUUGAAUGUGACAUUCCGGCAUAAACCUGCAUAUAAAAGAAGCUUGUGUAUAUAUUCGUGAUUAAUUGAUUGUGCGAAGGAAGGAACAUUGGCAUGAAUGAAGGUACGCACAUAUAUAUAUAAGUGUAUAUAUAUAUAUAUGUAUGUAUGUAUGAUAAUAAGUACGUAGGUGUGAAUGUAUGUGUGAAUGAAUGUUCAAUGCUUAAGACAUAUGCAUGAACGUAUCAAAGGGUUCGAGUAUUUAUGGAUACUAAUGAUGUGCGUUGAGUUGGAAUGUAAUGUAGGUAUGGGGUCGUUGGCUUCAUGAAGAAAUGGAGCUGGAUUUGGAUAAGAGUAUUUAAGAAAGCGCUUGGACAAUUCCACGACUGCUUUAUAGAAUGCUCUACGAAAUUUUAUUAUAUAGUUUAAUGUUGAAUGAUAUGUUAAUAACUAAUGGUUUGGUUGUACGUGGUGUCCACAGGUAUCGCUUGGGUUUUCUCUACUUUUAUUGAAGUGAAGCGGACUUAGUUCGAGUUGAGAGCAAGGAUUGUACGGGGUAGAAUGGUCACAUAGUGUAACUCAUAUAGGUUUUGAAGUAUUAAUGUUAUAAAACGUUAUAAAUCCGUUUUAAUGAAUAUAUGGCAUUUCGCAUUUGAACUUUCAUGUGUUUGAUAUGUCUAUUAAAGAACGAAAUUUUUGGGCUCUUGUUUUCCGCUGCGUCGUAUUUUAAGUUAUUACGCGUUAGUCUUACAGGGAAUUGUUCUUAUUACGAACGGGUCAUGCCCGAAUUUUGUUAAAUAAUAGUAUGAUAAUAUUACAUUUUGGAAUGUGUAAUUUGGGCGUAACAAGUUGGUAUCAGAGCCCUGGUUUGAGAGAAUUAAGUACGAGAGUAUAAGUACUUGAACUCAAACCUGUGUGCUCUUGUGAUAAGGAACCCGUACAAUCCAUGACUCGAUCAAGAUCUAAAGGUAGAAAUGGAACGAAAAUGUGUAAGUAUGUAUUAGGUUAUGUAUUUGAAAGAAACUAAUAGUGUGUUAUGUGCAAGGUAAGCUUAAGAUCUUGAAGAGGAUGAUCCGUGAAUACAGAAUGGGAUGAACGCUAAGGCGGGCAAAGGUGCAAAUAGGCAAAUUAACCCCAGGUACACAUUACUAAUAUGUAUGAGUACCGAUGUCAAAAGAAAAAGGAAGGGGUCUCCUUGGGAGGGAAAUUAUUAAACGAAAGACAAUGAUGUGGUCUUGGGGAAGUUUUAGAAAUGUGCACGAAACUGAAACCCAUUUCUCGGGCAUAAGGCGAUGAUUACACGAAGGCACGAAACUAGUGUGUGAAUUGCGCACCUGGCCAGUACGCAAGAAGCAUAUGACGUUCGUGAGACCGUGGCAAUUAUUGCAGGUAUGUCCGGUAGAACUGGGUAGCAGGUGGGCGCUAUGUUGUAGCGAAUCCGAAAUAGCAAAUCCAUUGCGGAUUUGGUUAUGCUAACGAAGGUUAUGAAAAGUUAUGCGAGUCGACCGGUUCUAGCGAACAAGUCGAAUAAGAAUAAGCUACCAUCCGUUUUGAACGGGUGAUUUUGAAUGCUCUAAUGAAUGCUAGAAGCUUAAUCCGUUAUACGGAUUGAAAGAAGAAGUUAUGAUUAAAUGUGAAAAACCCAAUUAUUUGGGUAGUGGAAAAUGUGUAUGCUUAACUCUCGUUGAGAGUGUUUAUGCCAAACCCAAUUAUUUGGGUAGUGGAAUGUGUAUGCUUAACUCUCCUUGAGAGUGUUUAUGCCGAAACCCAAUUAUUUGGGUAGUCGAAUGUGUAUGCUUAACUCUCUUUGAGAGUGUUUAUGCCAAACCCAAUUACUUGGGUAGUCGAAUGU